UAAAAAAAAAGAUAUUUGAGACAGCUUAUGAUGAUGAUACAUAUAAACUGCUUUGUAUUAGCAAUAAUAACUUACAUUUGUCAAAUGCCUACUAAGUGCCGGGCACUAUUUUAAGCACUUUGCACAUAUUAACUUUUUUUGAUGGUUAUGACAACCUUGUGAAUUAGAUAUUACUACUAUCUGCAUUUUAGAGAUGGGGAAACCAAGGCACAGACAGAUUAAGUAGCCUUCCAAGGCUGUACAGUAAGUAGCAGAGCUGGAAUUUGAACCUACGAAGUUUGAUCUUAGAGCCCGCUGUGGCAUACUGACUCUUGGUAAAUGUUUAACUCUGGGUUCUGAGUGUGGUGUUGUAAGUGCUCGGCCAUCUCAUACCUGAAGAACCGAUCGGAGGGAUCUGGUGUUCGAACCAAAGUGCUAUCAAUGAGUUUUGCUGUUGUUACCCAGGCUGGAGUGCAAUGGUGCGAUCUCGGCUCACUGCAACCUCCACCUUCUGGGUUCAAGCAAUUCUCCUGCCUCAGCCUCCCGAGUAGCUGGGACUACAGGCGUGCACCACCAUACCCAGAUCAUUUUUUGUAGUUUUAGUAGAGACGGGGUUUCACCAUGUUGACCAGGAUGGUCUCGAUCUCUUGACCUCAUGAUCCACCUGCCUUGGCCUCCCAAAGUGCUGGGAUUAUAGGUGUGAGCCUCGUGAGCCACCACGCCCGGCCUAAAUUUUUUUUUUUAAACAAAGGCUAUUUUUCGCAUUCUGGUUCUCUUUCUUUGUUCAUCCAAAUAAUCUACAUUGAAGUUUCAUGCUCCUGUGAUGUUCAGCUGAAUCAGGAGACAGUAAGAGGACCCUUACUAAUUGUGUUAAAUAAUUCAUUAAAUGUAGGCAGAGAAACACAGUUACAGACACUAUUUUGUUUUCAUUUAUAAGUCACUUUCCAGCACAGGGACAUAAGCAGCAUUAUGGGACUUUAGAGCUAGCAGGGCUCUAUGAAUUUCAGUCCAACCCUCUCAUUUUAAAGAUGGAGAAGUUAUAGCCCAGGUAACCCCAUGCAACCUAAUUUAAUAAGCUUUGAGCACCUAUGAUGUGGCAAGUAAAAUCAAGCAAAGUAAGAUGCCCGUAACUGAUGGGCGGGAUGUUGUUUUAGAUAAGGUGUCCAGGGAAAGUCUCUCUGAAAGGUGACUUUUGAGCAAAGGUCUGAAGGAAAUGAGGAAGCAAGUCGUGUAACAUUUGGCGGAGAGGUUCCAGGCAGAGGAACAAUAAGUGCAAAGGUCAUGAGGUCAGAGGAUGCGUGGCAUGUUGAAAAACAGAAGGGGACCAGUGUGGCUGGGAUACGGGGCAUGCAGGGCAGUGGUGGGAGUAGAAAGUGAAGUCAGAGAGGGGACAGGACAGAUUUUUGUAGAGUCUAUAAGGCCACUCGUGAUAAGGACUUGAAUUUUGUUCUGAGUAAGCUGAGAUAUAUUAGAGGGUCUUAAGCAGAGACAUCCCAUGAUCUGUCUUAGAAUUAAUUUUGGUCACUACAUGGAGAGUAGUCAGGGCUGGAGGGCUAGGACAGAAGCCAGGAGAUGAAUUACAAGGUUCCUGUAGUAAUUAAGACAACAGAUGAUGAUGGCUGGGCAAGGGCGAUAGGAGAACAGAGACGAUAUGUGACUAGACAGAGUACAGAGACACACUGAAGGCAGUGUCUUCAUGAAAGGGUCUUGUCCUCGUCACACAUAAUUAGAACAUGAAAGAGCUGGGGUUAGGCCUCCGGUCUCUGGAGUCCCUGGCUAGUGCCUCAGUGCCUUGCAUAUGUGAUCUCUAAAUGUCACCACAGCUGGGAAGAUAGGUU
Molecule: long non-coding RNA, 1817 nt
Organism: Callithrix jacchus (white-tufted-ear marmoset)
Lineage: Eukaryota; Metazoa; Chordata; Mammalia; Primates; Cebidae
Source: Ensembl